AUUAUGAGUUUGGUAGGAAGCUUAACGUCUUCUCUAUUUGUACUGUGACUUGUAUUUUUAUUAAGGGAACAAGACUUCUGAAAGGAACUCUGUUGGGUUUGAAGAAAGGAAAAACUAAAAAAUUUGAGAGAGAUUUAUGCUAAAACAAGUAUGAGAAAGAAAAACAUAAAUUUAUUACAAAAACAUAGGAUUUACAUAUAUAAAUUCAAAGAUUUUUUUUUUCCUUUUCUUGCUCAUUUUCUUAACUCUCUCAAACUCUCUUUCCAGC
This 268-nucleotide unclassified non-coding RNA is filed under the name Hevea brasiliensis (rubber tree). Lineage: Eukaryota; Viridiplantae; Streptophyta; Magnoliopsida; Malpighiales; Euphorbiaceae. The record is from RNAcentral.